CCCUGCCAUUUGUACACACCGCCCGUCGCUGCCCGGAACUGAGCCAUUUCGAGAAAAAUGGGGACUGAUUGCUUGUGAGCACGCAAGUGCUUCUUGCAGUCGGAAACCAUCUUGAUCGGUAUGGCUUGAACCGG
This 134-nucleotide ribosomal RNA is filed under the name uncultured eukaryote. RNAcentral describes it as "partial small subunit ribosomal RNA". It matches the Rfam family "Eukaryotic small subunit ribosomal RNA", at positions 1651 to 1781 of the family's 1831-position model. The record is from RNAcentral.